CUGCAAUCCUCUGCCUCACCGUCCCCAGCUCUGAGCAAAGCAGAAACUUGAAGCAGACGCUGCUCCGCAAAAGUAGUGCCCCAAAAGAUGCUGUGGCAGGCGCCAUGGGCAAGGCUGUCUCCUUCUGGCCCUGCCAUCCUGCUGCUGGUGCUCUGUGGCAGCAUGAGCUCCCAGGACAUCUGCAGCUCCCCAGGUACUCGUGAGUCCUUCCCUCCCAGACCCAGGGCACUUGGAAGCCCAACCACUGUGAGCUCUGCCCUAUGGCAGCCCUUCACUGCUGUGUCUCCUCCAGGGGAUCUCCGAGCUCCUGCUCUCCAAAUGAACUCAACUUCUGCUCAGCCAGGUACCACAGUUGUGCUCCAGUGUAUUCUCCCUGUGGUGUCACAUGCAAGACGAAUCAUCUUCUGCAAGGAUGGGAUGGAGCUGUACAGUCUGAAAGCCCAUCAAAGGCAGCUGAGCUACUCCUUGGUCCUGAACAUCACGUCAAGAAGCACAGGAAAAUACACAUGUGGGUACCAGGAGUGGAAUGAGAUGAAACACAAGAGGAGCUCUGCCCUCAGUGCUGGCCGCAUCCUGAAUGUCCCUGGCAAUGUGGUGAGUUCUCCAGCAAGUCCAUCACCCUCAGCUCCAAAUUCCCGGAUCCCACACACCCUCGCCACAGCCAUGGCGCUGGCAUUGGCGGCCGUUGGCCUCGUCGUCCUGGCUGCAGGCAGCUGGUUUGCCAUUAGGAAAGGUGCCUGCAGAGGGAGAUAUCCAAGGCAGCAGCACGUUGACAGCCCACAGAUGGAAACCACAGACAACGGCGAAGUCACAUGUGAGUACUGCCUCCCUCGGGGGAAGCCAUAUACCUGUCUGUGGUGGAAUCCCAGCACUUCAUGUUCUACUGGGACAUACAAAAUCCCUGCCUGUUCAUCAAGGCCAGGUUUCUCUCCAGCACUUCAUGUCCUGCUUCUUCCUUGCAUGCAGAGCGCGGCUGCUGGCUGCACAAGGGACAUGGCAGCAUCCCAGUGCUCCCAGGGACAAAGCCCAUUUGCUUGGGGGUUCCUUCCAUACCAGCUCCGGCCUCAGGCAGCAUUUCCCCUGCUUCAGCCUCUGCUUUUGUCCUUUCUUCAGUUUCUCUUCAGUGUCAUUUCUGCUUCAAGAACAACACAAAGCACAUCACAGCAACGAAAGAUGUGGCUCUGUUUCCUUUCCUUGCUGGGGAAAAUAUUUUAGAUCUUGCUCUGAAAGCAUAGGCAGCAGCCAAGGGAGGAUGUUGUGGUUGGGCGUCAGGCUACAGAUAUAUACCUACCUGACAUGCACGUAGCUUGAGUUGCAGCAUGACCUUUUUUACCCACUCCUGCACAGCGCAUUUUGCAAGGUGUGCUGGCUGUGCAAAGAGAGGCGACGCCACAGAAAGCUGGAAAUACACCAAAACCUCAGCAUCUCUGCUCCACUGCUGCUUAAUGCGUAUCACAGAUCAGGGUGAUGGGAGGGGAAAUGUGGUCAGGCGUUGAGAGCUGACCUCAGGCAGCUGAUGUCCAAAGCUCAAGGGGGUUCACCCCCUUUCAAUCAGCAAGGGCUCAUGGUGUGUUUUUUCCCCACAGACUCAACCAUCGCUCAUGUUCGACGGGACAGGGUGAGUCGUGGCACAGCUGUGCACAGCUCCUUUCUGCACUCCUGCAGCCUGGUGCCCGGUCAUUGUGCAGGGCUCACAGUCAGCAGCUGAAGUAACAGGGUUUCUUUUCUCCCUAAAGCCUCGUCCUGUGCAGCACAUGAGCGACACCACGACGUAUGCCACGGUGACCCGAACUCAGACCCGAUAGCGCUGCCACAGGGCAAGGGCACAGGAGCCUUGACCACGGCUGCCUUUACUCUUUUGUAGGGGGCUCUUGAAGCCAUAUCAUGGGGCUGGGGGGUGCACUUUGGGGUUCUCUGGGGUUUUCUGUCACAGGAAAUGCUGUGUGUAUCUAGCCAAGAGGAUGAAGGACUCAUAUCUCAGUUUGCAAUAAAUUAAUACCUCUAAAAUAUAUCA
Molecule: long non-coding RNA, 2014 nt
Filed under: Anas platyrhynchos platyrhynchos (common mallard)
Lineage: Eukaryota; Metazoa; Chordata; Aves; Anseriformes; Anatidae
Description: lncRNA (ENSAPLG00000022839.1)
Source: RNAcentral